Molecule: ribosomal RNA, 460 nt
Filed under: uncultured bacterium
Lineage: Bacteria
Description: partial 16S ribosomal RNA
Rfam family: Bacterial small subunit ribosomal RNA
Source: RNAcentral
CCUACGUGAGACAGCAGUGAGGAAUAUUGGUCAAUGGACGAGAGUCUGAACCAGCCAAGUAGCGUGAAGGAUGACUGCCCUAUGGGUUGUAAACUUCUUUUAUAUGGGAAUAAAAUGUUCCACGUGUGGGAUUUUGUAUGUACCAUAUGAAUAAGGAUCGGCUAACUCCGUGCCAGCAGCCGCGGUAAUACGGAGGAUCCGAGCGUUAUCCGGAUUUAUUGGGUUUAAAGGGAGCGUAGGUUGAUUGUUAAGUCAGUUGUGAAAGUUUGCGGCUCAACCGUAAAAUUGCAGUUGAAACUGGCAGUCUUGAGUACAGUAGAGGUGGGCGGAAUUCGUGGUGUAGCGGUGAAAUGCUUAGAUAUCACGAAGAACUCCGAUUGCGAAGGCAGCUCACUGGACUGCAACUGACACUGAGGCUCGAAAGUGUGGGUAUCAAACAGGAUUAGAUACCCGAGUAGUC